This 360-nucleotide ribosomal RNA is filed under the name Triticum aestivum (bread wheat). RNAcentral's name for it is "partial small subunit ribosomal RNA". The record is from RNAcentral. Lineage: Eukaryota; Viridiplantae; Streptophyta; Magnoliopsida; Poales; Poaceae.
AUGAGUUUUUUGAGCUGGAACUGCCGGGGGCUUGGGAACCCCGAGGCAGUUCGCGAGCUUCACAAUGUGGUGAAGCAAGAAGGGCCUGAACUAGUUUUUGUUAUGGAGACGAAAAUCAGAGGGAAAAGAGUAGAGGAUUUGCCGCAUACCCUUGGGUUUGCUGGCAAUUUUGAAGUGGAAAGUGAUGGCCUAAGCGGUGGCAUAGGGCUGUUCUGGUCAAACGAUGUGAAGGUGGAACUUAAAUCAUACAGUCACUGUCACAUCGAUGUUUUGGUUCACGAGGAAUCUCAGGGACCGAAUGCUUGGAGGUUCACGGGUUUCUACGGUGCGCCAAGAGCAGUAGACCAUCAUCACAUCUAG